Molecule: small nucleolar RNA, 60 nt
Filed under: Euglena gracilis
Lineage: Eukaryota; Euglenozoa; Euglenophyceae; Euglenales; Euglenaceae
Description: Eg-m94
Source: RNAcentral
UGAUGAUUCCUCUCAGCGGGUUUCUGAGACGAUGCUGAGGCUCCAUAAUUCUGGCUGAUA